AAGUAUAAGCAUUAUACCGUGAAACUGCGAAUGGCUCAUUAAAUCAGUUAUCGUUUAUUUGAUAGUACCUUACUACUUGGAUAACCGUGGUAAUUCUAGAGCUAAUACAUGCUGAAAACCCCAACUUCGGGAGGGGUGUAUUUAUUAGAUAAAAAACCAACGCCCUUCGGGGCUUCUUGGUGAUUCAUGAUAACUUUACGGAUCGCAUGGCCUUGCGCCGGCGACGGUUCAUUCAAAUUUCUGCCCUAUCAACUUUCGAUGGUAAGGUAUUGGCUUACCAUGGUUUCAACGGGUAACGGGGAAUUAGGGUUCGAUUCCGGAGAGGGAGCCUGAGAAACGGCUACCACAUCCAAGGAAGGCAGCAGGCGCGCAAAUUACCCAAUCCCGACACGGGGAGGUAGUGACAAUAAAUACUGAUACAGGGCUCUUUUGGGUCUUGUAAUUGGAAUGAGUACAAUUUAAACCUCUUAACGAGGAACAAUUGGAGGGCAAGUCUGGUGCCAGCAGCCGCGGUAAUUCCAGCUCCAAUAGCGUAUAUUAAAGUUGUUGCAGUUAAAAAGCUCGUAGUUGAACCUUGGGUCUGGCUGGCAGGUCCGCCUCACCGCGUGUACUUGUCCGGCCGGGCCUUCCUUCUGGAGAACCUCAUGCCCUUCACUGGGCGUGUUGGGGACCAGGACUUUUACUUUGAAAAAAUUAGAGUGUUCAAAGCAGGCCUUUGCUCGAAUACGUUAGCAUGGAAUAAUAGAAUAGGACGUGCGGUCCUAUUUUGUUGGUUUCUAGGACCGCCGUAAUGAUUAAUAGGGACAGUCGGGGGCAUCAGUAUUCAAUUGUCAGAGGUGAAAUUCUUGGAUUUAUUGAAGACUAACUACUGCGAAAGCAUUUGCCAAGGAUGUUUUCAUUAAUCAGUGAACGAAAGUUAGGGGAUCGAAGACGAUCAGAUACCGUCGUAGUCUUAACCGUAAACUAUGCCGACUAGGGAUCGGGCGAUGUUCUUUUUCUGACUCGCUCGGCACCUUACGAGAAAU
This 1025-nucleotide ribosomal RNA is filed under the name Wojnowicia dactylidicola. RNAcentral's name for it is "SSU rRNA". It matches the Rfam family "Eukaryotic small subunit ribosomal RNA", at positions 61 to 1098 of the family's 1831-position model. The record is from RNAcentral. Lineage: Eukaryota; Fungi; Ascomycota; Dothideomycetes; Pleosporales; Phaeosphaeriaceae.